ACGGGUGAGUAACACGUGGAUAACCUACCUAUAAGACUGGGAUAACUUCGGGAAACCGGAGCUAAUACCGGAUAAUAUAUUGAACCGCAUUGUUCAAUAGUGAAAGACGGUUUUGCUGUCACUUAUAGAUGGAUCCGCGCCGCAUUAGCUAGUUGGUAAGGUAACGGCUUACCAAGGCAACGAUGCGUAGCCGACCUGAGAGGGUGAUCGGCCACACUGGAACUGAGACACGGUCCAG
This 238-nucleotide ribosomal RNA is filed under the name uncultured Staphylococcus sp. Its description in RNAcentral is "partial 16S ribosomal RNA". It matches the Rfam family "Bacterial small subunit ribosomal RNA", at positions 102 to 334 of the family's 1533-position model. Lineage: Bacteria; Bacillati; Bacillota; Bacilli; Caryophanales; Staphylococcaceae. The record is from RNAcentral.